Molecule: long non-coding RNA, 224 nt
Filed under: Elaeis guineensis (African oil palm)
Lineage: Eukaryota; Viridiplantae; Streptophyta; Magnoliopsida; Arecales; Arecaceae
Description: long non-coding RNA (EGUI_LNC000647)
Source: RNAcentral
AAGCCACCAACCAUUUAGCAAAGUUAGGUUAUUAGAAUGAUAGAAUCUUCAAUGAUUUCUAGAACAUAGACAACUAGUAUCCACAACUAACACUAUGAUUUGCAGGUUAGUGGAUGGAUUUUCUAUCCUAAUGACUUAUCUGAUUAAGACUUAAAACCUACAAUAUUAGAACUUGAUGGCUACUAAAUUUAGGCAUAACAGCCUACAGCUUUGUCUCUAUAUAA